GUAGGUGGCAAGCGUUGUCCGGAAUUAUUGGGCGUAAAGCGCGCACAGGCGGUUCUUUAAGUCUGAUGUGAAAGCCCACGGCUCAACCGUGGAGGGUCAUUGGAAACUGGAGAACUUGAGUACAGAAGAGGAAAGCGGAAUUCCACGUGUAGCGGUGAAAUGCGUAGAGAUGUGGAGGAACACCAGUGGCGAAGGCGGCUUUCUGGUCUGUAACUGACGCUGAGGCGCGAAAGCGUGGGGAGCAAACAGGGAUUAGAUACCCUGGUAGUCCACGCCGUAAACGAUGAGUGCUAAGUGUUAGGGGGGUUUCCGCCCCCUUAGUGCUGCAGCUAACGCAUUAAGCACUCCGCCUGGGGAGUACGGCCGCAAGGCUG
Molecule: ribosomal RNA, 374 nt
Filed under: uncultured organism
Description: partial 16S ribosomal RNA
Rfam family: Bacterial small subunit ribosomal RNA
Source: RNAcentral